This 75-nucleotide transfer RNA is filed under the name Planctomycetota bacterium. Its description in RNAcentral is "tRNA-Glu". It matches the Rfam family "tRNA". Rfam says of the family: Transfer RNA (tRNA) molecules are approximately 80 nucleotides in length. Their secondary structure includes four short double-helical elements and three loops (D, anti-codon, and T loops). Further hydrogen bonds mediate the characteristic L-shaped molecular structure. tRNAs have two regions of fundamental functional importance: the anti-codon, which is responsible for specific mRNA codon recognition, and the 3' end, to which the tRNAs corresponding amino acid is attached (by aminoacyl-tRNA synthetases). tRNAs cope with the degeneracy of the genetic code in two manners: having more than one tRNA (with a specific anti-codon) for a particular amino acid; and 'wobble' base-pairing, i.e. permitting non-standard base-pairing at the 3rd anti-codon position. Lineage: Bacteria; Pseudomonadati; Planctomycetota. The record is from RNAcentral.
GUCCCCUUAGUGCAGCGGUCAGCACAUCAGAUUCUCAGUCUGAGAACAUGGGUUCGAGUCCCAUAGGGGAUGCCA